AUUUGCCUUUUAAUUGGAGGCUAGUAUGAACGGAUAAACGAGAAUAUGGCUGUCUCACUACCAGUAAUGAAAAUUAACCUUCAAGUGAAGAGGCUUGAAUUGUAUAAAAAGACGAAAAGACCCUAUGGAGCUUUACUUACAUAGAGAACGAGGCACAAUAAAAAAACUGCCAAACUCCUAAAUAGUUCAGUUGGGGCGACUGAGGAGCACUAUUAAAGCCCCCUCAACACACAAGAAAAUAAAUCUAUUAAAAAUCCACAAACGUGAAUAAAGAAUCAGCUACCCUAGGGAUAACAGGCUAAUCCUUCUCGAGAGCCCAAAUUGACAGAAGGGGUUGGCACCUCG
Molecule: ribosomal RNA, 345 nt
Filed under: Prionospio sp. E TMG-2019
Lineage: Eukaryota; Metazoa; Annelida; Polychaeta; Spionida; Spionidae
Description: partial large subunit ribosomal RNA
Rfam family: Bacterial large subunit ribosomal RNA
Source: RNAcentral